This 1494-nucleotide unclassified non-coding RNA is filed under the name Hevea brasiliensis (rubber tree). Lineage: Eukaryota; Viridiplantae; Streptophyta; Magnoliopsida; Malpighiales; Euphorbiaceae. The record is from RNAcentral.
CUAACCAUAAAAAUUCUUUUGUAUAAUGGCCCAGCUUCUGCAGUUGUCUGUCCCUAAAGUUUUCAAUGUGCAACUCAGAAACAUCACUACUGUCCACAGAACCUGACAGGUGGGGUGAUUCAAGAGGCAGUGAAUCUAGAUUUCGAGGCCACAAGGAUCCGAUGCUAUCAACCGGCUCUUUUAAAUUGAAUCAGAAUUCCUGCAGCCCAGAUCAUAGUCAGUUUGCAGCAUCAUGACACCAGAAAAACUAGAUUAUUAUGGUUUGGGCAUAGUUGAUAGACAUGAAGGUAAAAGGUAGGCAGGAUAACGGUACUAGUUGAUCCAAGGAAUAUAACUAUAUGCAAGUUGGAGAAGGAGGAAGAGUAAAUUUAUUAUAUAUAAGGAGAAAAAAAUCAUUUUAUUUAUUAUCAUUAUUUUUUUUCUUUUUUUCUUUUUUGUGUGUGCUGUUGUUUGGGGGGGUGGGAGGAGAGUAUUGAACCAAAAACAUUCAGGAAUUGAUUAAAAGCCCUGUGAAUCACUGAUCCACUUGUGAAACACUAAACAUGACUAACCACAAAUUGUACGAAGUACUCCGGAAUCUCAAACUUAUUCUGCCAUAGGCAACUAUAAGUUCUGGAAAAAAGCAGAUUUCAAAACGAAAAGUUUAUGAGUAUGCCAACUGUAAAACAAAUCGUAGUCUGCCCGUCCAAACUUUAAUAUAUCCCCAUAAUUUUCCAGUCCACCUAAUUAACAUGGGCAAAAGAUCCGAACUUUUUUUGAAUCUGUAAUGGACUAAAUAACAUAACAUAUUAUAGGGCAGUUUCAUUAACUCCUGGUAAUGAAAACUUUAGAAUAGACGAGUCGCAAGAAGGAAAAUGAAACAAUAUACAAGUAAUUUUAUGCGCAUCCAAACCGUAAGAAGCUUGAAAGUUGGAACUGUCAAAAAAAAACUCUGCACAGAACCAAAAACCCAGAACCACAAAGCUUCAUGAUUUUCAAAAAGAAAAAUCAAAAUCCGUCAAUACUUUUGAAUGAAAUAAGAAGAGUUUCAUUAAUUUUUUUUCCAAUUGUACCUGAAACGAUGGAGUUGAGCCAAUCAAUCACCUCUCGUCUGGACUUGAGCUUCAAAGGUCUCGUGGACAAUAAAAUUGAUCUAUUCUUAACAGCGUAGUGAUAAGAAGAAUGCCUAGAGCUCGUCUCUUUCCUAUGACGGCCAGAUCCAAUCCUCCGUCUAUCCUUUUCAAGUAAUAGCGAACCUCUCUCCUCCCUUUAUCCAUCGAGACGCUCACCUCCUCGCAGCUAACGUACCCGAACGACUCCGUAUCCGGCGGCGACCCCAAUCUCUCCAUCAAUUCAAUCGCAAAACCCAAAGUCCGAACCCUAAUCGAAAAUUCCAAACGCAAAUUGAGAAAUUAAACCGUACGCGACGAGGCUACGCGGUGAUGGUUGAGAGGAAUGGACUCUGGUGUCUCUCUCUAUCCGUUUUCUCUUCCUAUUUGAUGAGCCGUUCGUCAG